GACGGGCGGUCCCGGUUCCAGGGCGGGGCUGGAGACAGGGAGACCCGGCUGGGAAGUGCAGGCAAAGCCGGCUGUUACCCUGCACAGCCGUCACCCUCAACUUUCCUUCAGGUAGGCGUGGCCUUCGUGGGUGGUCUCAUCUUGGCACUGCUGCUGGUACCCGUCAACAAAGUGAUUGCCACCCGCAUCAUGGCCAGCAACCAGGAAAUGCUACAGCACAAGGAUGCGCGGGUUAAGCUUGUGACAGAGCUGCUGAGUGGCAUUCGGGUCAUCAAGUUCUGCGGGUGGGAGCAGGCACUGGGAGCCCGAGUAGAGGCCUGCCGGGCUCGAGAGCUGGGGCAACUCCGGGUCAUCAAAUACCUGGAUGCGGCCUGUGUAUACCUGUGGGCUGCCCUACCGGUUGUCAUCUCCAUCGUUAUCUUCAUCACCUAUGUCCUCAUGGGGCACCAGCUCACUGCCACCAAGGUGAGGACCAGGAAGGAAGGGGACCAGCAUCAAGGAGACUUCAGCAAAGUGAAGACAGAGGCUCGGGCCCUCAGUGCUGGCUGAGAAGGAGGGAGGGAUCCCUGACUGCCUCAUCUCUCAACCAAGGGAAAACUGAAGGAACCUUUUUGUGGGGGCCUUGGAUAUAUAACCCUCCCCUCUGUGAAGGAGUUCCUUUCUUUCCUCUCCUCUACCUUUCACUCCAGCUUCUAUUCAGUUCCAGGCUUGGGGUUAGGUCUCUUCAUCCUCGUUCUAAUGGCCUUAGGAAAAAAAUGUAUGAUGCAAUCCUG
This 773-nucleotide small RNA is filed under the name Pan troglodytes (chimpanzee). RNAcentral describes it as "processed transcript". The record is from RNAcentral. Lineage: Eukaryota; Metazoa; Chordata; Mammalia; Primates; Hominidae.